CUGGUAGAUCACUUCAGUGAUCGCCGGGAGCUCUUUCGAACCAGAUGGUUAUUUCGGGGUAGCAUUAGAACGUGUUUAGAUCGCGGUAUCGGUACUUUCAGCUUUGUUACUUAAUUGAAUAUCCACAUGCCGAAUAAAAAUCAAAAUUAUCUAAUCUUGCGCGUUGUCGACUGUUUCCUCAGUUUACCAUAUUUUCCGGCCAAAGGACCGGUCAACUCUGGACAAAUUUUCCCGAGAAGUUGCGGCAUUCAUUAGGGUCUUCAAGUAUUCGGACAUCUUUUGGAAAAUGGAGUCGUUUCCUGGGUCAAUGGAGAGAGGCCUUCGAUGAAUCUUGCGGUUAUCACCAUUUGCUAAUACUACGGCGAAAGGAAGCUAUCGCAGGAUAAUAUCGAGGAUUGUAGUUCGGAUUGUAGUUCGGGGUCGCAGGAAAUGGAAGAGCCCGUUAUGUAAUAGGAGUAGGUCCCGGUAUUCGAAUGGACAGGAUCAAUCGUGCUUUUGUAGGCACAAGUUGCGCUUAGUUCGAGCUCCUCUCCAAUUUUGGCUUGUUUUUUCAUGUCAAAAUGGCGACGUCCCUUUAUUUCCUACGUGUGUGACUUUAACAUUCGUCGGGUGUUGUAAUGUUCUGCGACGGCAUGCGUGUUCUGGGAAUCAUGGAGGAUUUGUCGACUCAUUGAGUUUCGUUCACCGGAAAAACGUUUUGGUAACGCCACGUGCCUAGAGCCCCUGAUUUCUUUGGCAUGAAAUUUAACCAAAGCCUCAACAAUCUCUUUGGUGGCAAGGAUUGAGGAGUAUACUACUUUGUGUGGUAAAAAGAUGGGGAAAGUUUCGUCUUUAAUUAGCGUUCAUGCAUUAAAAAAUCUCGGAUACGUAUACCUGCACGUUCGCCGUCGCGGAAAGUUUUCGCGGUCCUUACGCGGAAUGUAUUCGUAGUGGUAUUCGCGGCUUUCGUUCGUUCGGUGUUUGUUAACUGCGCCGCGUGUGAUUUGUGAGUGUUCAUAUAAUUCAACAGGAAGAGAUCCUUGGGAUUUAAUUUCUUGCUCCUUAAUAUACAUAUACCGUGGACCAUGAAAUUACGGGGAAAUCUGUGCCACAUGGUGAAAUUUUCUGGAUCAUGGAAAAGAUGAAUUCCUAUCCUACAGCCAGCGAUGGACACCGCAACCGCCAGAGAUUACUAAAAAAGGACAUCGCUAUGCAGCUAUGGGGGGCGCAAGGUGA
Molecule: long non-coding RNA, 1215 nt
Organism: Hermetia illucens (black soldier fly)
Lineage: Eukaryota; Metazoa; Arthropoda; Insecta; Diptera; Stratiomyidae
Exons: 7
Source: RefSeq, a predicted model, not a curated record